AAUAUUUGACAAUUGGCGCAAGCCUGAUCCAGCCAUGCCGCGUGAGUGAAGAAGGCCCUAGGGUUGUAAAGCUCUUUCACCCGCGACGAUGAGGACGGUAGCGGGAGAAGAAGCCCCGGCUAACUCCGUGCUAGCAGCCGCGGUAAUACGGAGGGGGCAAGCGUUGUUCGGAUUUACUGGGCGUAAAGGGCGCGUAGGCGGAUGUUCGCGUCAGAGGUGAAAGCCCCGGGCUCAACCUGGGAACUGCCUUUGAAGCGGGACAUCUUGAGUUCGGAAGAGGGUAGCGGAACUCCCAGUGUAGAGGUGAAAUUCGUAGAUAUUGGGAAGAACACCAGUAGCGAAGGCGGCUACCUGGUCCGACACUGACGCUGAGGCGCGAAAGCGUGGGGAGCAAAC
RNAcentral lists this ribosomal RNA (396 nucleotides) under uncultured bacterium. RNAcentral's name for it is "partial 16S ribosomal RNA". It matches the Rfam family "Bacterial small subunit ribosomal RNA", at positions 360 to 773 of the family's 1533-position model. The record is from RNAcentral.